Molecule: unclassified non-coding RNA, 247 nt
Filed under: Glomeraceae sp.
Lineage: Eukaryota; Fungi; Glomeromycota; Glomeromycetes; Glomerales; Glomeraceae
Description: partial contains 5.8S ribosomal RNA and internal transcribed spacer 2
Rfam family: 5.8S ribosomal RNA (bases 1-71)
Source: RNAcentral
GUGAAUCAUCAAAUUUUUGAACGCAAAUUGCGCUUCCUGGCAUUCCGGGAAGUAUGCCUGUUUGAGGGUCAGUAUUAACAUAAAUUUGGUUCGGUUGCAAAUUGUGAUGUUUCCGGAGACUGGGUUAUUUUAACUAUUUUGGUUAAGGGGCUUAAAAUUGACCUUUUUUGUGCUUUUUUAGACGUACAUAAAUUUUUUUUUUUUUCGUUUAUUCUUAAUUCCAAAAUCUAAUUAAAUGCGAUCACAU